GCAUAAUUAUAUUUAAUAAAUUCUUCAUGAAUGUCAUAUCUUUAAAAAGAAAAUUGAUCAACUUGUGUCUAAGGAAAAUUUUGACCCACUUGACUAUAAGGAUUAUGACAUGUGUCACUUAUAUCAAUGGGAAAUAAACAAAUAUGAAGGAAAGGGACUAUUGUAUCAAGCAAAUAUAGAUUAUCAUGUCUUGAUAAAAAAUC
RNAcentral lists this long non-coding RNA (203 nucleotides) under Spirodela polyrhiza (greater duckweed). RNAcentral describes it as "long non-coding RNA (SPOL_LNC002218)". Lineage: Eukaryota; Viridiplantae; Streptophyta; Magnoliopsida; Alismatales; Araceae. The record is from RNAcentral.